GAGUUUGAUCAUGGCUCAGAUUGAACGCUGGCGGCAUGCCUAACACAUGCAAGUCGAACGGGAUCCAGGCUUCGGCCUGGUGAGAGUGGCGGACGGGUGAGUAACGCGUGGGAACCUGCCCAAUGGUCUGGGAUAACCGCGGGAAACUGCGGCUAAUACCGGAUAAGCCCGAGAGGGGAAAGAUUUAUCGCCGAUGGAGGGGCCCGCGUCCGAUUAGGUAGUUGGUGAGGUAACGGCUCACCAAGCCGACGAUCGGUAGCUGGUCUGAGAGGAUGAUCAGCCACACUGGGACUGAGAUACGGCCCAGACUCCUACGGGAGGCAGCAGUGGGGAAUAUUGGACAAUGGGCGAAAGCCUGAUCCAGCCAUGCCGCGUGAGUGAAGAAGGCCUUAGGGUUGUAAAGCUCUUUUGGCGGGGACGAUAAUGACGGUACCCGCAGAAUAAGCUCCGGCUAACUUCGUGCCAGCCGCCGCUGU
Molecule: ribosomal RNA, 476 nt
Filed under: uncultured Alphaproteobacteria bacterium
Lineage: Bacteria; Pseudomonadati; Pseudomonadota; Alphaproteobacteria
Description: bacterial SSU rRNA
Rfam family: Bacterial small subunit ribosomal RNA
Source: RNAcentral